CCCCCUCCGCCCCGGAACAGCCCGGGAGGCCCCGCCCACUGCACCCGCCCCCGUUGCUAUGGGGAAGCCCAUUUGCUCCAUGCUGGAAACCUCACACCAGCACGUGGAGCAGGGAGCAAGGUGAUCCAUCAGCUCUCCAGCACCUUGUCUGUCUGUCAGACAUGUGCAAACCAGGCUGCCCUUUGUGAAGGAUUUGUGAGACACACCCAGAUGACAACUCCAAACCUGGAAAACUUCCUUCUAAUACAGUUGGAAUUUUGAAGCUGCUCUCUGCUUUCCAUAUGCUGAAGUGAAUCCCCCUGAAUGGCAGACUCUGAUUCCUGGUUAGACCCUUCCUGCAUUCCUGCACCAUCUUUUCCCAGCUCAUGGAAGCCAUAGAAUCUUCUUCCAUGGGAAAAGCAAAGUUCCCAAAGCUCUGGAGAGCUCCUGGCACAGCUUUUGAAGGUAAUGUCAGAACCUUGUGCAAGCCCAGGGAUCACUGGAAGGAGGGAAUUGAGAUCUGGGAAAAUCUGAGAACAUCUGCUCUAGUUUGCAGUGGUUGUAACAUCCAUGUAUUAUAUAAAAUGUGAAAAUAAGAGAAACAGAGAGGAAAUGAGUACAGCCCAGGAUUCUGGUGGUAUCAAAGCACAAAUUAAAGUUAUGAUACAAACCCCUUGAGCUGUAUUUAUCCCCUUGUGAUUCAGUUUCCUAUAUAUU
Long non-coding RNA from Calypte anna (Anna's hummingbird), 696 nucleotides. RefSeq lists it as uncharacterized. The transcript has 3 exons. The record is from RefSeq and is a predicted model, not a curated record. NCBI's taxonomy places the organism in Eukaryota, Metazoa, Chordata, Aves, Apodiformes, Trochilidae.